UGUAACAUCCCAUUAGUCCCACAUCGGAAGUGGGCAAUGUGUAUGAUUAGCUUAUAAGGGCCUGAUGAGUGUACUACGUUAACUCCCGCUUAAGCAUUUUGGUCCGUGGUUGAAGGACCAAAAUGGAGUUAUUGGCCAGUUGGCUCAUCAGACUCGGGUCGUGACAUUUGUUAUCAAAGCCGACCUAGUAUUUGGGCAGGGUGAGAGGGCUCGAGUAAGAAAGGG
Molecule: long non-coding RNA, 225 nt
Filed under: Musa acuminata (dwarf banana)
Lineage: Eukaryota; Viridiplantae; Streptophyta; Magnoliopsida; Zingiberales; Musaceae
Description: long non-coding RNA (MACU_LNC011221)
Source: RNAcentral